This 468-nucleotide ribosomal RNA is filed under the name uncultured bacterium. Its description in RNAcentral is "partial 16S ribosomal RNA". It matches the Rfam family "Bacterial small subunit ribosomal RNA", at positions 28 to 507 of the family's 1533-position model. The record is from RNAcentral.
GACGAACGCUGGCGGCGUGCUUAACACAUGCAAGUCGAACGGAAAGGCCCUGCUUUUGUGGGGUGCUCGAGUGGCGAACGGGUGAGUAACACGUGAGUAACCUGCCCUUGACUUUGGGAUAACUUCAGGAAACUGGGGCUAAUACCGGAUAGGAGCUCCUGCUGCAUGGUGGGGGUUGGAAAGUUUCGGCGGUUGGGGAUGGACUCGCGGCUUAUCAGCUUGUUGGUGGGGUAGUGGCUUACCAAGGCUUUGACGGGUAGCCGGCCUGAGAGGGUGACCGGCCACAGUGGGACUGAGAUACGGCCCAGAAUCCUACGGGAGGCAGCAGUGGGGAAUAUUGCACAAUGGGCGGAAGCCUGAUGCAGCAACGCCGCGUGCGGGAUGACGGCCUUCGGGUUGUAAACCGCUUUCGCCUGUGACGAAGCGUGAGUGACGGUAAUGGGUAAAGAAGCACCGGCUAACUACGUG